This 478-nucleotide ribosomal RNA is filed under the name uncultured bacterium. RNAcentral describes it as "bacterial SSU rRNA". It matches the Rfam family "Bacterial small subunit ribosomal RNA", at positions 364 to 833 of the family's 1533-position model. The record is from RNAcentral.
UUUCGCAAUGCCCGAAAGGGUGACGAAGCGACGCCGCGUGCGGGAAGAAGGCCUUCGGGUUGUAAACCGCUGUCGGGAGUUAAGAAAUGUAAGGAUGUUAAUAGCAUCUUUACUUGACUAAGGCUCCGGAGGAAGCCACGGCUAACUCUGUGCCAGCAGCCGCGGUAAUACAGAGGCGGCAAGCGUUGUUCGGAAUUAUUGGGCGUAAAGAGCACGUAGGCGGUUCUGCAAGUCGGCUGUGAAAGCCUUCCGCUCAACGGAAGAACAGCAGUUGAUACUACAGGACUCGAGUGCGGGAGGGGAGAGUGGAACUUCUGGUGGAGCGGUGAAAUGCGUAGAUAUCAGGAGGAACGCCGGUGGCGAAAGCGACUCUCUGGGCCGCUCCUGACACUGAGGUGCGAGAGCUAGGGGAGCAAACAGGAUUAGAUACCCUGGUAGUCCUAGCUGUAAACGAUGGGCACUAAGUAGAGGGGUUUUA